CCUACGGGAGGCAGCAGUGGGGAAUAUUGCACAAUGGGGGAAACCCUGAUGCAGCGACGCCGCGUGAGUGAAGAAGUAAUUCGUUAUGUAAAGCUCUAUCAGCAGGGAAGAAAAUGACGGUACUUGAGUAAGAAGCCCCGGCGAAUUACGAGCCAGCAGCCGCGGUAAUACGAAGGGGGCAAGCGGUAUCCGGAUGUACGGGGUGUAAAGGGAGCGUAGAUGGCAGUGCAAGUCUGGAGUGAAAGGCGGGGGCUCAACCGGGGGACGGCUCUGGAAACUGUACGGCUGGAGUGCAGGAGAGGAGAGUGGAAUUCCUGGUGUAGCGGUGAAAUGCGUAGAUAUUAGGAGGAACACCAGUGGCGAAGGCGGCUUACUGGACUGUAACUGACGCUGAGGCUCGAAAGCGUGGGGAGCAAACAGGAUUAGAUACCCGUGUAGUC
RNAcentral lists this ribosomal RNA (440 nucleotides) under uncultured bacterium. RNAcentral's name for it is "partial 16S ribosomal RNA". It matches the Rfam family "Bacterial small subunit ribosomal RNA", at positions 338 to 795 of the family's 1533-position model. The record is from RNAcentral.